RNAcentral lists this ribosomal RNA (253 nucleotides) under uncultured bacterium. RNAcentral's name for it is "partial 16S ribosomal RNA". It matches the Rfam family "Bacterial small subunit ribosomal RNA", at positions 524 to 776 of the family's 1533-position model. The record is from RNAcentral.
UACGUAGGUGGCGAGCGUUGUCCGGAUUUACUGGGCGUAAAGGGAGCGUAGGCGGACUUUUAAGUGAGAUGUGAAAUGCUCGGGCUCAACUUGAGUGCUGCAUUUCAAACUGGAAGUCUAGAGUGCAGGAGAGGAGAAUGGAAUUCCUAGUGUAGCGGUGAAAUGCGUAGAGAUUAGGAAGAACACCAGUGGCGAAGGCGAUUCUCUGGACUGUAACUGACGCUGAGGCUCGAAAGCGUGGGGAGCAAACAGG